GUGGGUCCAUUCUCUAAUUCACUUUUCAUUUUACCAAAAAAUAAAUUGUAUAACAAAUAUCAAACUAACCAGGUAAUGACACUUCUAUGGUAACCAAAAGAUACAUUGUAAAGGGAAUUCAAAAUAUCUCCCACAGCCAAUUCCAAAUGCUUGUUUUGCAUUUAGCUGCAAUUAAUAUUUUUUGAAUUAUUGGGCUUUAAAAAAGACUGAACUUUUCCCUAUUGAUCUUUUAAUAUAAAAAAGAUAAGCUUAUUUUACUCAUAUAUAUCUUAUUUAAUUUAUAAACAUUUGAUAUAAAGUCAUCACACGAUAAACAAAUGCCACUAGUUUCAUCUUCUUUACAUUGCAUAAAGAGAGCUACCUGUAGGUUAUCCUUUUAAAUGCAGUCUUCACAAUAAACUUUCAAAUCUACAUACCCGAAAUUUUAAUUGAUGAAAAUUUUAGAUGGACUCUGUUGGCCUGUACGGAUGAUUUUUACAGGCCCAACAUUAAUUUUACUAGCCUGGACUGCGUGGCCUGUGGUUCAGCGUGAAGACUGC
RNAcentral lists this long non-coding RNA (539 nucleotides) under Mytilus galloprovincialis (Mediterranean mussel). The record is from RNAcentral. Lineage: Eukaryota; Metazoa; Mollusca; Bivalvia; Mytilida; Mytilidae.